AGGCAGCAGUGAGGAAUCUUGCGCAAUGGGGGCAACCCUGACGCAGCAACGCCGCGUGAGUGAGGAAGGUCUUCGGAUCGUAAAGCUCUGUCGGAUGGAAAGAACCGCAUAGGGGUAAAUAGCCCCUGUGUCUGACGGUACCAUCAAAGGAAGCACCGGCUAACUCCGUGCCAGCAGCCGCGGUAAUACGGGGGGUGCAAGCGUUGUUCGGAAUUAUUGGGCGUAAAGAGCGUGUAGGCGGCCUGAUGUGUCAGAUGUGAAAGCCCUGGGCUUAACCCAGGAAGUGCAUUUGAAACUGUCAGGCUUGAGUAGGGGAGAGGGAAGUGGAAUUCCUGGUGUAGAGGUGAAAUUCGUAGAUAUCAGGAGGAACACCGGUGGCGAAGGCGACUUCCUGGCCCUAUACUGACGCUGAGACGCGAGAGCGUGGGUAGCAAACAGGAUUAGAUACCCCUGUAGUC
This 458-nucleotide ribosomal RNA is filed under the name uncultured Syntrophus sp. Its description in RNAcentral is "bacterial SSU rRNA". It matches the Rfam family "Bacterial small subunit ribosomal RNA", at positions 346 to 795 of the family's 1533-position model. Lineage: Bacteria; Pseudomonadati; Thermodesulfobacteriota; Syntrophia; Syntrophales; Syntrophaceae. The record is from RNAcentral.